RNAcentral lists this ribosomal RNA (460 nucleotides) under uncultured bacterium. RNAcentral's name for it is "partial 16S ribosomal RNA". It matches the Rfam family "Bacterial small subunit ribosomal RNA", at positions 338 to 795 of the family's 1533-position model. The record is from RNAcentral.
CCUACGGGAGGCUGCAGUGAGGAAUAUUGGUCAAUGGGCGCGAGCCUGAACCAGCCAAGUAGCGUGAAGGAUGACUGCCCUACGGGUUGUAAACUUCUUUUAUAAAGGAAUAAAGUGAGGCACGUGUACCUUUUUGUAAGUAUUUUAUGAAUAAGGAUCGGCUAACUCCGUGCCCGCAGCCGCGGUAAUACGGAGGAUCCGAGCUUUAUCCGGAUUUAUUGGGUUUAAAGGGAGCGUAGAUGGGUUGUUAAGUCAGUUGUGAAAGUUUGGGGCUGAACCGUAGAAUUGCCAUUGAUACUGGCAGUCUUGAGGACAGUUGAGGUAGGGGGAAUUCGUGGUGGAGCGGUGAAAUGCUUAGAUAACACGAAGAACUCCGAUUGCGAAGGCAGCUUACUAAACUGCCACUGACAUUGAUGCUCGAAAGUGUGGGUAUCAAACAGGAUUAGAUACCCUUGUAGUC